GCGAAUAUAGCUCAGUUGGUUAGAGCGUCCGGUUGUGGUCCGGAAGGUCGUGGGUUCGAUCCCCACUAUUCGCCCCA
RNAcentral lists this transfer RNA (77 nucleotides) under Candidatus Peregrinibacteria bacterium. RNAcentral's name for it is "tRNA-His". It matches the Rfam family "tRNA". From Rfam's summary of the family: Transfer RNA (tRNA) molecules are approximately 80 nucleotides in length. Their secondary structure includes four short double-helical elements and three loops (D, anti-codon, and T loops). Further hydrogen bonds mediate the characteristic L-shaped molecular structure. tRNAs have two regions of fundamental functional importance: the anti-codon, which is responsible for specific mRNA codon recognition, and the 3' end, to which the tRNAs corresponding amino acid is attached (by aminoacyl-tRNA synthetases). tRNAs cope with the degeneracy of the genetic code in two manners: having more than one tRNA (with a specific anti-codon) for a particular amino acid; and 'wobble' base-pairing, i.e. permitting non-standard base-pairing at the 3rd anti-codon position. Lineage: Bacteria; Candidatus Peregrinibacteriota. The record is from RNAcentral.